RNAcentral lists this ribosomal RNA (254 nucleotides) under uncultured bacterium. RNAcentral describes it as "partial 16S ribosomal RNA". It matches the Rfam family "Bacterial small subunit ribosomal RNA", at positions 524 to 776 of the family's 1533-position model. The record is from RNAcentral.
UACGGGGGGGGCAAGCGUUGUUCGGAAUUACUGGGCGUAAAGGGCUCGUAGGCGGCCCAACUAAGUCAUACGUGAAAUCCCUCGGCUUAACCGGGGAACUGCGUCUGAUACUGGAUGGCUUGAGUUCGGGAGAGGGAUGUGGAAUUCCCGGUGUAGCGGUGAAAUGCGCAGAUAUCGUGAGGAAUACCAGAGGCGAAGGCGGCUACCUGGACAAUUGCUGACGCUCAGGCACGAAAGCGUGGGGAGCAAAAGGG